UCUAGAAGCUUCGGCAAUGGGGGAAACCCUGACCGAGCGACGCCGCGUGCAGGACGAAGGUCUUCGGAUCGUAAACUGCUUUCGCUGAGGGAGAAAUGCCUUAGGGUGAAUAAUCCUGGGGCUAGACGGUACUCAGUAAAGAAGCUCCGGCUAAGUCCGUGCCAGCAGCCGCGGUAAUACGGGCGGAGCGAGCGUUGUUCGGAUUCAUUGGGUGUAAAGGGUGCGAAGGCGGUCGUCUAAGUCGGAGGGGAAAUGUCUACGGCUUAACCGAGGCAUUGC
Molecule: ribosomal RNA, 279 nt
Filed under: uncultured prokaryote
Description: partial 16S ribosomal RNA
Rfam family: Bacterial small subunit ribosomal RNA
Source: RNAcentral